This 441-nucleotide ribosomal RNA is filed under the name uncultured bacterium. RNAcentral describes it as "bacterial SSU rRNA". It matches the Rfam family "Bacterial small subunit ribosomal RNA", at positions 958 to 1398 of the family's 1533-position model. The record is from RNAcentral.
AACGCGAAGAACCUUACCUGGGUUUGACAUCCCCGGACCGGUGUGGAGACACAUCUUUCGUAGCAAUACGACCGGGAGACAGGUGCUGCAUGGCUGUCGUCAGCUCGUGUGGUGACAUGUUGGGUUAAGUCCCGCAACGAGCGCAACCCCUGUCCUUAGUUGCCAGCAUUCAGUUGGGCUCUCUAAGGAGACUGCCGUGGUUAACACGGAGGAAGGUGGGAAUGACGUCAAGUCCUCAUGGCCUUUAUAUCCAGGGCGACACACGUGAUACAAUGGUCGGUACAAAGGGAAGCCAAGGAGCGAUCCGGAGCCAAUCCCAAAAAGCCGAUCUCAGUUCGGAUUGGAGUCUGCAACUCGACUCCAUGAAGUUGGAAUCGCUAGUAAUCGCGGAUCAGCACGCCGCGGUGAAUACGUUCCCGGGCCUUGUACACACCGAGUAUA